CCCACAUACAAAUAACUCAAAAGUUAUCCCCAUAUACUAAUAAAGAAGGGUCUUGCAGUCCACCAACCUUGAGAGGUUGAUUGCCUUUUAGUAUAUGCAGGUUUGCUAAAAGUUGACAGUGAGAUUGAAAAUUAUUGGAGUGUAAAAACCUUAUAUCAUGGUCUGUGGGCAAUAGAAAUAAUUUCUCGGCUUAGGUACAAAGCGCUUAUGGCAUUUGUGAAUAUGGUAGAUCCAGUACUAAAGACUACAGCAAUAAACUGCAUCAACAACUGUACCAGCCGUCACAGAAUAUUGUUGUUGCAGACAAACACACUGUCAAAUCAAGAAAUAGGUUGGGGGUUAGGCAGUUCAUCAAAGCUAGAUGACCUACUAUGUGGGGAAUAAAUCUGGG
This is a non-coding RNA of Paramuricea clavata, 391 nucleotides long. NCBI's taxonomy places the organism in Eukaryota, Metazoa, Cnidaria, Anthozoa, Malacalcyonacea, Plexauridae. The record is from the annotation of a GenBank genome assembly.